This 253-nucleotide ribosomal RNA is filed under the name uncultured bacterium. RNAcentral's name for it is "partial 16S ribosomal RNA". It matches the Rfam family "Bacterial small subunit ribosomal RNA", at positions 524 to 776 of the family's 1533-position model. The record is from RNAcentral.
GACGAACCGUCCGAACGUUAUUCGGUAUCACUGGGCUUAAAGCGUUCGUAGGCGGCCUAGUAGGUGAGAUGUGAAAGCCCUCGGCUCAACCGAGGAAUAGCGUUUCAAACCACUAGGCUAGAGGAUGGCAGGGGUAAUGGGAACUGAUGGUGGAGCGGUGAAAUGCGUUGAUAUCAUCAGGAACACCGGUGGCGAAAGCGCAUUACUGGGCCAUUUCUGACGCUGAGGAACGAAAGCUAGGGUAGCGAACGGG